RNAcentral lists this ribosomal RNA (472 nucleotides) under uncultured Actinomycetes bacterium. RNAcentral describes it as "bacterial SSU rRNA". It matches the Rfam family "Bacterial small subunit ribosomal RNA", at positions 156 to 638 of the family's 1533-position model. Lineage: Bacteria; Bacillati; Actinomycetota; Actinomycetes. The record is from RNAcentral.
ACUGGGUCUAAUACUGGAUAGGACCGCAUGCUGCAUGGUGUGUGGUGGAAAGCUUUUGCGGUGUGGGAUGGGCCCGCGGCCUAUCAGCUUGUUGGUGGGGUGAUGGCCUACCAAGGCGACGACGGGUAGCCGGCCUGAGAGGGUGUCUGGCCACACUGGGACUGAGAUACGGCCCAGACUCCUACGGGAGGCAGCAGUGGGGAAUAUUGCACAAUGGGCGCAAGCCUGAUGCAGCGACGCCGCGUGGGGGAUGACGGCCUUCGGGUUGUAAACCUCUUUCACCAUCGACGAAGCCUUAAUCGGUGACGGUAGGUGGAGAAGAGGCACCGGCCAACUACGUGCCAGCAGCCGCGGUAAUACGUAGGGUGCGAGCGUUGUCCGGAAUUACUGGGCGUAAAGAGCUCGUAGGUGGUUUGUCGCGUUGUUCGUGAAAUCCCGCAGCUUAACUGCGGGCGUGCGGGCGAUACGGGCA